GUGUCCUGUCAGAUAAACCCCCGCCUUCACGCACUUCGUCGCGGGAGGACAAGGAGACUGCUGGUCCUAGCCUAGUUCAGUACAGUAUAUGUUGUGAGCGUGCUCCAGAUCUCCGGAGAUAGCACAGUACGCUGUGUCCAGCCCAGAGGUGAAAGCCAUCCAAAGCAGAGUAACUGUGCUUUGCGUCCAAGUUGAUACCUGUGGAGAGGAAAGGAAAGAGAGAGUGAGUAACACAAGGAGAAACAGAGGAAACCUGUACUUACAGUACGCUGUGUCCAGCCCAGAGGUGAAAGCCAUCCAAAGCAGAGUAACUGUGCUUUGCGUCCAAGUUGAUACCUGUGGAGAGGAAAGGAAAGAGAGAUUGAUACCUGUGGAGAGAAAAGGAGAGAGAGUGGGUAACACGAGGAGAGACCGAGGAAACCUGUACUUACGCCGCUGCCUGUGGAGAAAGAGAAAGCGAGUGAGCACCCAAGGAACGAACUGUGUGAACCAGUACUUACUGUGAGCUGCAAUCAGCGAAGAGGUGAGAGCAAAACCAAGCUGAACUAACUGUGCCUGUGUGUCCCAGCCGUUGCCUGUGGAGGAAGAGAAAGAGAGUGAGCACCCCGAGAACGAACUGUGUGAACCAGUACUUACCGUGAGCUGUAUUCAGCGAAGAGGAGGAAGAAGGAGGGCGCUACGGAUACCUAAGACUCAGGCCGGGGCCCGAGUCCCACGCCCCGGAUCCCCGUGGCCCCCUUGCUCCCUGACCUCUUCCCGGCCAUAGCCCAUCUGGAGGGCCGAGUCAGAGUUUAGUUUUAAUUGCCCUUUCCCUAUU
Molecule: long non-coding RNA, 817 nt
Organism: Cyprinus carpio carpio
Lineage: Eukaryota; Metazoa; Chordata; Actinopteri; Cypriniformes; Cyprinidae
Source: Ensembl